GAUGAAAUCCAGGGCAGAGCCCCCCAUCCCGGGUGAGGGGAUUCCCCCGAGCAGGUGGUCCACUUGCCAUCUAUCCUGGCCGGGCAUGCCCAUUCCAGCUGUGUGCAGCUUAAGGUGCUGUCGCUGCCCUAGGCAUGCCAAGGAACAGAGGAGGGCAGGUAUCUUCUGGGCACCCUCUGGAGUCAAAUCAAGAUUUGAGGUACCCUGAGGAGCCUCGUAGCCAAAGGUUGGAAACAACAGCACCGAGGCACACACGGAGCACAUUUCACCAUCCACGUCCGACCGAGGAUGGAUUUUGUCUGCUCCUUUUCCAAAAGCUAAGUGUCGGGGCCAGCAGUUGGGAGAAGGGGAAAAACCUUUACUAUCACAGAGGGCAAUUUGAUGUCAGCUUAGCGGAGAGGUCUGUAGUGGGACCAGCUCUCUGGAAGAAAAGGGAGAGGGUUUCUCCUCAGCCUGACCAGAGCCUUUGCUGGGCAGGGCAGUUCCGACCCAUCUCAGCAUUCUCGUGAACUUUGCGUUGUCCGCCUUCCUCGGCCCGACGUCGUCACGGAUCAUUCCCCCGAGGAGCUCGCCUUCACGUCCGGAGCUACAGCCACGGUCACCCGGCCGUCGGCUUCCUUCUCUAGGCUCGCUGAGCCUCUCGAGCAUCCUCUUAACUGCUUUGGCACUAACUUCUUUUAACGAGUUACAUUUCAUCAUCACAUGCUAUCGUCAUAGGGCUUCCUCUCCUUUGGCAUCAUCAGCCUCUGGCACAUCUUGCGCUAGGCAUCUCGGGUGCCUAAGGGGACAGUGCCAGGCAGUUGCCACUUGUCUCUGUGUCUAUGUUGUCCGUGUCUGUGUUGUCCGUGUCUGUGUCCGUUGUCUUCCACGUCAUAGGCCUUUAUUAUGUCUCAAUGCUUUAUCGGCACUAUUCUGUGCCAUCUAGGCUGUGUUCUACUCACGUUCCUUUCUGGAUAUCCCUUAUUCUGGCAUCUUUACAUUUUUACUCUUUGAGACAUUCCUGUCUCAAAGGGAGAAGAUGUUCUCAUCCAUCUUCCUUCUCACUACCAGCUUUGGUAGUGCCUUUUUUUCCAUGCCAUUUUCUUGGACUGCUAGAGGGAGUGUCUUGCACCCUCCUCAUGUGACUGCAGUACUUCUAUAGGUUCCAUCUUCUCAAGGGUAUAGGACUCAAGAAUUCAUCUUCCAGCGAGUUAUCUCAAGUCCUGGCUUAUAUUGUGUGUACCUGUGCUGGCUUAUACUGUAUGUACCUACCCUCUAUGUACACUUGCACUGUAUGCAUCGACUUAGAUUGUUGUGUGUACUUAUAUUGUACCACUUAUGGUUGGAGCUGCCCUGCCCGGGCACGUAGUCACAGUCAGGUAGAAGAGUUAUAAAAACUUUACUGUUCAUCUGUCUUUUAUGGGAUUUUGGGUAGAAAACUUAUUGGUCCAGAGUGGAGACAAGUCCUAGCUGUCAGAUAGCCACUCGUUGACCGCUUCCUGUCGUCUCACAGGUCCCCGAGGCUACCAAUUUCCCCAGAACCUACCAACUGACGUCAAGGAGCGCAGCCAGAAGAUGUGUGGCAGCACGUUCUUCAGCGUCUCGAGGUGAGCACAGGGUGAACUCUCUCCUCCUUGCUGUGACACCUGGGCUGGCAGGGAUGACACAGUGACCUCGGCCGGCCGAUGCUGCCUGUGCCAUCACCUGGCACUGACGUGUUUGAUGAAAAUCCUUUUGCUGGGAUUUUUCUCCUGAGAAGCUUCAGAACAGAAAUGGAACCAAUAACGAUCUGCUGGCUGUGGAGUGUGGGCUGGAGAUGGUUUAGCAACAGGGGCAUCUUGGAUUGGUCUCCUGUGCAGUGUCUACUUGAUGACCAAUCAUGGUCCAGCUGCGUCGGGGCUGUGAGCAGUCCCAGGUUUUUAUUAUUCAUUCCUUUCCAGCUUUCUGAUGUCUCCUUGUUCUUUUAGUAUAGUUCUACUAUCUCAUUUUCUUUUAAUAUAAUAGAGAUCAUAAAAUAAUAUUUCAGCCUUCUGA
Molecule: non-coding RNA, 2013 nt
Organism: Agelaius phoeniceus (red-winged blackbird)
Lineage: Eukaryota; Metazoa; Chordata; Aves; Passeriformes; Icteridae
Source: RefSeq, a predicted model, not a curated record